Molecule: non-coding RNA, 28 nt
Filed under: Bombyx mori (domestic silkworm)
Lineage: Eukaryota; Metazoa; Arthropoda; Insecta; Lepidoptera; Bombycidae
Source: RNAcentral
UAGUAGGUCACUAAUUAAUCAAUCUCUC